This is a long non-coding RNA of Astatotilapia calliptera (eastern happy), 520 nucleotides long. NCBI's taxonomy places the organism in Eukaryota, Metazoa, Chordata, Actinopteri, Cichliformes, Cichlidae. The record is from Ensembl.
UUUUUACAGAUGCAGGUUACAGUCCAGAAUUGUGUAGGGUUCUGGAGACCUUUAAUCUUCCCAAUUGCCAGGCUGAUGAGCAGGCUUUGUGCCAGCAGUUUGACCAACCAGAUCAGAACAGGAAGUGGAGAGAGGGCAUCAUCAAGUCCAGUUUCAACUACCUGCUGCUUGAUCCAAGAUUAAGCUUCUGGAUUCAUCGCCGGUGAUACUGACACAUAGCCAGUGCUCCUGUGUGGCAGGCGCUGUUAUGUGCAAUCACACAGUGGCACUGCUCUUCCAAACAGCACACUACUCACAACUCAGAGUGCCAGUUGUCCCCCCUGUGCAUAGCUGCACGGAAUCUGAACAGCAAUGGCACAAGCCACGGACAGUGGGUGUGAAGCCAGGACCCAUCAACUCCAUGAUCUUCACUAAGCCGGUACCAAAUAGAAUGGCCCAGACUGGAGUACGGAGUGGCUUCUACAGAGGCAUGGUGGGUCCGUUACCAGAUCCCUGCUUGUUCAGAAUAACGGAGGCAUAU